GGCAGGUUUGCCUAGCGGCCUAAGGCAGCGGCUUGGAAAGUCGUAACCGGAAACGGUCGGGGGUUCGAAUCCCUCACCCGCCG
RNAcentral lists this transfer RNA (83 nucleotides) under Arthrobacter sp. zg-Y1110. Its description in RNAcentral is "tRNA-Ser". It matches the Rfam family "tRNA". Rfam says of the family: Transfer RNA (tRNA) molecules are approximately 80 nucleotides in length. Their secondary structure includes four short double-helical elements and three loops (D, anti-codon, and T loops). Further hydrogen bonds mediate the characteristic L-shaped molecular structure. tRNAs have two regions of fundamental functional importance: the anti-codon, which is responsible for specific mRNA codon recognition, and the 3' end, to which the tRNAs corresponding amino acid is attached (by aminoacyl-tRNA synthetases). tRNAs cope with the degeneracy of the genetic code in two manners: having more than one tRNA (with a specific anti-codon) for a particular amino acid; and 'wobble' base-pairing, i.e. permitting non-standard base-pairing at the 3rd anti-codon position. Lineage: Bacteria; Bacillati; Actinomycetota; Actinomycetes; Micrococcales; Micrococcaceae. The record is from RNAcentral.